RNAcentral lists this unclassified non-coding RNA (221 nucleotides) under Hevea brasiliensis (rubber tree). The record is from RNAcentral. Lineage: Eukaryota; Viridiplantae; Streptophyta; Magnoliopsida; Malpighiales; Euphorbiaceae.
GGACUGUCUUAAAUCUUAUGUAAGUACACCAAUCCCAUUUUCAUCAAAAUCUUUUGAAUUUUCUGGUGGGUAGGAAAAAAGUUUAUUCUCGUAUAAGCUUGUAUGGGGUAUUAGGCACAGAACAUUGGUAUUGGAUCUAUUGUUAGUUUGAAUGAUUUCAUGGCAUUUAUAUUCAUCGGCAAUUCCUGUGUUGUACAGGUAAGAACAUUUGAAACACAUUG